GCUAUACAUGCAGUCAGACGAAACUUUCUUACCCGAAUGCUUGCAUUCACCGUAAGAAGUUGAGUGGCGGACGGGUGAGUAACACGUGGGUAACCUGCCUAAAAGAAGGGGAUAACACUUGGAAACAGGUGCUAAUACCGUAUAUCUCUAAGGAUCGCAUGAUUCUUAGAUGAAAGAUGGUUCUGCUAUCGCUUUUAGAUGGACCCGCGGCGUAUUAACUAGUUGGUGGGGUAACGGCCUACCAAGGUGAUGAUACGUAGCCGAACUGAGAGGUUGAUCGGCCACAUUGGGACUGAGACACGGCCCAAACUCCUACGGGAGGCAGCAGUAGGGAAUCUUCCACAAUGGACGCAAGUCUGAUGGAGCAACGCCGCGUGAGUGAAGAAGGUCUUCGGAUCGUAAAACUCUGUUGUUAGAGAAGAACACGAGUGAGAGUAACUGUUCAUUCGAUGACGGUAUCUAACCAGCAAGUCACGGCUAACUACGUGCCAGCAGCCGCCGGUAAAAAAAA
This 511-nucleotide ribosomal RNA is filed under the name Ligilactobacillus salivarius. RNAcentral's name for it is "bacterial SSU rRNA". It matches the Rfam family "Bacterial small subunit ribosomal RNA", at positions 48 to 529 of the family's 1533-position model. Lineage: Bacteria; Bacillati; Bacillota; Bacilli; Lactobacillales; Lactobacillaceae. The record is from RNAcentral.